Molecule: unclassified non-coding RNA, 315 nt
Filed under: air metagenome
Description: partial contains small subunit ribosomal RNA, internal transcribed spacer 1, and 5.8S ribosomal RNA
Rfam family: Eukaryotic small subunit ribosomal RNA (bases 1-46)
Source: RNAcentral
AAGUCGUAACAAGGUUUCCGUAGGUGAACCUGCGGAAGGAUCAUUAAAAGAGAAGUCGCCCCGGGGCCCUAAAAAAGCCCCUGGGGUAACAAAUCUCCACCCCUUGCUUGUUAUACCAAACUGUUGCUUUCGCGGGACAGCUGGAGGCUCUCGUGGCCUUCCCGCCGGCCUUUAAUCUUUUCCCCCCGGGGGAGAGGUUGGGCUGGUGCCGCCCGCGAACGGCCAAAAUUAUAAAACCUUGAAGUAAACAUUGAAGUCUGAUUUUUAUACUAUGAAAAUAGCCUAAAACUUUCAACAACGGAUCUCUUGGUUCUG